AGAUUAAGUUAUUAAGGGCGCACGGUGGAUGCCUUGGCACUAGAAGCCGAUGAAGGACGUUACUAACGACGAUAUGCUUUGGGGAGCUGUAAGUAAGCUUUGAUCCAGAGAUUUCCGAAUGGGGAAACCCAGCAUGAGUUAUGUCAUGUUAUCGAUAUGUGAAUACAUAGCAUAUCAGAAGGCACACCCGGAGAACUGAAACAUCUUAGUACCCGGAGGAAGAGAAAGAAAAUUCGAUUCCCUUAGUAGCGGCGAGCGAAACGGGAAGAGCCCAAACCAAAAAGCUUGCUUGUUGGGGUUGUAGGACACUCUAUACGGAGUUACAAAGGACGACAUUAGACGAAUCAUCUGGAAAGAUGAAUCAAAGAAGGUAAUAAUCCUGUAGUCGAAAAUGUUGUCUCUCUUGAGUGGAUCCUGAGUACGACGGAGCACGUGAAAUUCCGUCGGAAUCUGGGAGGACCAUCUCCUAAGGCUAAAUACUCUCUAGUGACCGAUAGUGAACCAGUACCGUGAGGGAAAGGUGAAAAGCACCCCGGAAGGGGAGUGAAAUAGAACCUGAAACCGUGUGCUUACAAGUAGUCAGAGCCCGUUAAUGGGUGAUGGCGUGCCUUUUGUAGAAUGAACAGGAGAGUGAAGAGGGGAGGAGAGUGUCAUCAGUAAAUGUUGAGCCGUAGCGAAAGCGAGUCUGAAUAGGGCGUUUAGUAUUUGGUCGUAGACCCGAAACCAGGUGAUCU
RNAcentral lists this ribosomal RNA (734 nucleotides) under Staphylococcus aureus. RNAcentral's name for it is "bacterial LSU rRNA". It matches the Rfam family "Bacterial large subunit ribosomal RNA", at positions 1 to 731 of the family's 2925-position model. The record is from RNAcentral. Lineage: Bacteria; Bacillati; Bacillota; Bacilli; Caryophanales; Staphylococcaceae.